Molecule: RNA transcript, 2710 nt
Organism: Mauremys mutica (yellowpond turtle)
Lineage: Eukaryota; Metazoa; Chordata; Testudines; Geoemydidae
Gene: TIGAR
Gene name: TP53 induced glycolysis regulatory phosphatase
Exons: 9
Source: RefSeq, a predicted model, not a curated record
GCAGCAUGAUUGCCAAUAGGCGAGCGAGGGGUGGGCGUCGCAGUGUAAGGAGGCGGGGGCAAGAAGCCGGUUGGAGGGAGCGCGCGGAGGCUGUUUCCUCACCGCAUCAUGGUCCGGUUCGCUUUGACCAUCGUUCGGCAUGGAGAAACAAGAUACAACAAAGACAAGAUACUUCAAGGACAAGGUGUGGAUGAGCCCCUUUCUGCAACUGGUUUCAGACAAGCAGAUGCUGCUGGUAUAUUUCUCAGUAAUGUAAAGUUUACUCAUGUCUUCUCAAGUGACCUCCUUCGAGCGAAGCAGACUGCAUCCACAAUUAUAGGAAAGAAUAAGUUUUGCAAAGAUAUUGUAAUACAGUAUGAUGCAAGACUUCGAGAGAGGAAAUAUGGGAUUGCUGAAGGAAGGCCAUUGAGUGACCUAAAGGCAAUGGCAAAGGCUGCUGGAGAGCAAUGUCCUUUGUUUACACCAUCUGGAGGAGAAACACUAGAUGAGGUGUGUGUGCCAUGUGCACUGUUGCCAGAGAUUUUUCCCUCAGUGGUAUCCAUCAGGCCAGCUCUAGUGCCCUCUGGUGCCACACACUCAUGCACUAGCAUAAGGCGUGCUGCUGGCAAUGCACCCUUUCAGGCCUGGUCUACACUGGAGGAGAAGGGAAAUCGAUCUAAAUCAACACCCACUGGAUUGAACACUGCCCGUCGAUCCUGCGGAGACGCAGCUACAGCUGAGUGCUGGUUGGUGCCCUCUAUCCUUACUCUCAGCUGCCCUCUUCUUCCUCCCUCCACUUCAGACUACAGUGGCAGUAGCUCCAUGGACAAGAAGAUGAUCAGAGCUGGCUGACAAAUACUGCAGAUCCCGAUGGACAGGCAGGGCAGAGAACCGAAUGUGCUGUUGGGGUCUGUAAUGCUUCCUUGAAGUUGCUGUUGUGUAAACCAAGGGACUUAGGGAUCACCCUAGAGUCCUUUAACCCAUGAAGCUUUGCAUCAGUCUGCUCUCAGAAGAGCGAAGCUCCUUCAAAGGGAAAAACUCUAUCUCUUCACGAAGUAUAAAAACGCACUUUAAUGCACGUCCCCUAGAAAGCCAUCAGACUUGAGUGUGGAAAAGCAGAACUUUGUAUUCACCACCCAUGUCGUUGCAGAGCACUCGAAAGAGACGACUAUUCAUAACAUAUGCCUUAAUGAAGUUCACUGCUCACUACAUCAUUAAGAUACAUUGACAAUGUACUUUACAGCUAGGACUUGAUGAUGGAUUCCACAAUGAGCGACAAUCACAUUAGGUGACAUGCACUUUACCUUCUUCUGAAAGCCAGACUGUGCACCCAUCAAAGCUGGAGCACCAUCAGUACAUAUACCACAAACAUUUUUCCAGUUAAUGCCAUUGCUUUUGAAAAAGGCAUUCAUCUUAUUGAAAAUAUCCUGUGCUGUUAUGGUUGUUUUUAAGUUGUUCACAGAAUAAGAAUUCAUCAUUAACAUCCCCUGCAUUAACAUACUGUAUGAACUAUCAAUUGUACGCAAUUAGUAACAUCAGUAGUUUCAUCAAGUUGCUGGCUGAACAUACUAAAAGCAGAAUGUUUAAUUUCAUGCACAGCUUGUUCUUUGAUAUCUUCAGACAUCUCACAUAUCCUGCAUUUCACAGUAUCAUUCAUAUAGAAAACAUAUUAAGCUUUUUGGCAGUAUCAUUGCCAAACAUAAGCGACACAAUAUCUUUGCAUGCUGGCAGAACAAGCUUCUCACCUAUCAUAUGUGGGUUCUUGGCAUGAAUGAUUCGUAGAGACACAACAUAAGAGGCUUCCACAGCUGAGGACAUUUGCUGUCAGAAACUUCCACCUGCAUGAAGCCUGGCUUUCUUGGCCACUUCUUCUCUACGUUUGAAAAAAUCCAUGUUUUGAUGUUUAUGCUCAGGAUGUCUAGUUUCAAGAUGUUGCUGCAGUUUGCAUGGUUUCAUUGAUUCAGCAGACAAAACUUCGCAGCAAAUGAUGCAUUGUGGAUUUUCAAUAACUGAGGUAAUGAUGCUGGUAAAACCAGGUUUAAUGUAAGACUCAAGGUACUUUAGCUUUUUAGCAGUAGAGGUGACCAUUAUUUUCAGGAGAAAAUAUGCACCCGUGUGUCUGACUGUUACAUUAUAAAUUACUUUCUCUCCCCCUGAUCUCAGUGUUCUGAUUAGUUGCGUUUAAUGUAUCUCUUCAGAUGCUGAACAAUCAAGCCCUCUUAUAUUGUCUCAAUCCCAGGGUCGGCCUUAGGGAAAAUGGCACUCUGGGGGAACUUCUAUUUUGGUGUCCUUUGGAGGCAGAGCAGGGCUGGUGUGGAGUUGGGCUGGCUGUACUGGGGCUGACAGCAUGCAACCCCCAUGUAACCAUCUUGCAACCCCCUGAGGGGUCACGACCCCCAGUUUUAAAACCUCUGCAGUAGUGUAAACCCUUUGCCACUGAGAACUAAUGGAAUUUCUCCUGGUAGCUCAAGUGAUGGAGGUUUGUCUGUUUUGGAGAGAGAGGUCCUUAGUUCUCCAUACUAUUUUAUGUAUGUGUGUGCACGCUUUGGCUGUUUGACUAUCAUGCCUUGCCAGAACACUUAUUACUGCACAAAUACGCCCACAAACAGUUACUGGCUCAGAAAGCAGUGGCUUCUCAUCUGAAUCAUUUACCGUGCAAUUCUCAUCAGAGCCUCAAAAGGAGGGAUAUAUUGCAGAUUCACAAUCUUGGUGACAGAAUGCUCUCUCUGCA